UACGUAGGGUGCGAGCGUUAAUCGGAAUUACUGGGCGUAAAGCGUGCGCAGGCGGCUUUGCAAGACAGAGGUGAAAUCCCCGGGCUCAACCUGGGAACUGCCUUUGUGACUGCAAGGCUAGAGUACGGCAGAGGGGGAUGGAAUUCCGCGUGUAGCAGUGAAAUGCGUAGAUAUGCGGAGGAACACCGAUGGCGAAGGCAAUCCCCUGGGCCUGUACUGACGCUCAUGCACGAAAGCGUGGGGAGCAAACAGGAUUAGAUACCCUGGUAGUCAAGGGCG
This 279-nucleotide ribosomal RNA is filed under the name uncultured Burkholderiales bacterium. Its description in RNAcentral is "partial 16S ribosomal RNA". It matches the Rfam family "Bacterial small subunit ribosomal RNA", at positions 524 to 802 of the family's 1533-position model. Lineage: Bacteria; Pseudomonadati; Pseudomonadota; Betaproteobacteria; Burkholderiales. The record is from RNAcentral.